UUGUGUUUGUGUUUGUGUUUGUAUAUAUAUAUGUAUAGAACUAGGCUAUUACACUAUGAAUAGCACCAAGUCAUUGGUACUGCCAAGUUUUUGGCCAUUGGAUUAAGAGAUGUGCGGUUAGGAUGAUGUGGGUCCCCUAGAGUUGAGUGGGUGAUUGGUUGAAUAGCAUAAUCUAACGGAUGAAAAUGAUUAAAAGGGUAGAUCUAACGGUGGAAAACUUGGUAGCACCAAGUGUUUCGUACUAUUAAUAGCAUAGUAGCCUAGUUCUUUCUAGCACCAAGUCAUUGAUGCUACCAAGUUUUUGGCCAUUGGAUUAAGAGAUGUGUGGUUAGGAUGAUGUGGGCCCUUUAGGUUUGAGUGGGUGGUUGGUUGAAUAGUAUGAUCUAACGGGUGAAAAUGAUCAAAAGGAUAGAUCUAACGGCGGAAAACUUGAUAGCACCAAGUUCUUCGUGCUAUUAAUAGCAUAGUAACCGGACUCUCUCUUUCUAUAUAUAUAAUUUUAUUUUUAUAUUUAUAAGAAUUAUAAUUAUUUAUGUUAAUAGUAUAAAUCUAAAAAAUAAUUUAAUUUAACAGAUGAAUUUUUGUUCCGAAUUUUUAAAUAAUAAACAUAAAAUUCUUGUUUAAAUUGCGUAUAUGAAUUAUUGACGAAUCCAAUUUUUAAACCGUAUUUUGUAACGAAUUUAAAAAUUAAAAUACAAAUUUUAUUCGUAUUUUAUCCAUACCGAAUUUUUACCAUAUCCGAAUUAACUACUUAUGUUCUUGCUUGCUUGCGAUUCAUAUGUAUAUUAUAAAUUAUACUAAGCAUUGUGUUAUGUUAUAAUGUUUAGUUUUAUGUAAUUGUAAAAUUUAUAGUAGAUUUAAGCACUAUGGUAUAAUUAAGUAGUGAAUUAAUUUUCUCAAGUUUGG
RNAcentral lists this long non-coding RNA (906 nucleotides) under Ananas comosus (pineapple). Its description in RNAcentral is "long non-coding RNA (ACOM_LNC000380)". Lineage: Eukaryota; Viridiplantae; Streptophyta; Magnoliopsida; Poales; Bromeliaceae. The record is from RNAcentral.